Drosophila montana is the source of this 384-nucleotide long non-coding RNA. RefSeq lists it as uncharacterized. The transcript has 2 exons. NCBI's taxonomy places the organism in Eukaryota, Metazoa, Arthropoda, Insecta, Diptera, Drosophilidae. The record is from RefSeq and is a predicted model, not a curated record.
UUCUCGUAUAGUAUACACGGAAUUCGAAUAUUUGAAUUCAUCGUAAAAAAUCAACUUAUAUUUAACGUUUCGUACAAAUUGGAACAUAAACACCGAAGUUAAUCACGAACGCAUAACCCAUAGAGGGGGGCUAAGAGAUGAUGAAGCAGAGGUCGGAGGGAGCUGGAAUGUUUGGGUUCCGUGCUGGGCUCAGAUAUAUUCCUCAGUUCACGCUUCGAAUUGGGACUUACUUUUGGAGAGGCACGAAUAGGAACCAGCAAGCAGUUCAGUUUCCGCAGCAUUGGAAGCAUCUAUCCAAAGUUUUUCGUAUGACUCGUUAAUUGCGGCGAAUAUAAGAUUCUAAACGUGGGCACGUUGGACUUAUCUUUUGGUUUUUCUAAUUUA